UAUCUCUGUAGAGUCUGCAUAUCAAUAAGCGGAGGAAAAGAAACUAACAAGGAUUCCCCUAGUAACGGCGAGUGAAGCGGGAAGAGCUCAAAUUUGAAAUCUUAAAGGGUUUCCCUUCACGAAUUGUAGUUUAAAGAAGUGUUUUCUGUUGGAGUUUCGGUAAAAGUUCUUUGGAAUAGGACAUCAUAGAGGGUGAGAAUCUCGUAUUUGACCGUUACUUUCCAGCUGUGUGAUACACUUUCAAAGAGUCGGAUUGUUUGGGAAUGCAGUCCAAAAUGGGUGGUAAAUUUCAUCUAAAGCUAAAUAUUGGCGAGAGACCGAUAGCGAACAAGUACCGUGAGGGAAAGAUGAAAAGAACUUUGAAAAGAGAGUUAAACAGUACGUGAAAUUGUCAAAAGGGAAGCGUUUGACACCAGUGUUGUUUAGUUGAAAAUCAAUUCAAUAAUUUUUGAUUUUGAGUAGUAUUGACUUCAUCAGCUUGCUGCUUUCUUUUCAGAAAUUAUUGAAUGCACUUUUCAGUUAACAAGUCAACAUCAAUUUCUUUUGUUGUAAAAGGGUAAGAGGAAGGUGGCUUACGCUUCGGCGUAAGUGUUUAUAGCCUUUUACCUCUGCAAUCGGAGAGAUUGAGGUCUGCAGCGUAGACUCUUCGGGGUUAGAUACACUUGUGCUAAGCUAUAGCCUUGUAUAGACAACUUGUUGACUAUGCUCAGUCAUGUAGCUUACUCGCUUGUGCUAUUUUACCUACGCUUAGGAUGUUGAGUAGCGACAUACGCAC
RNAcentral lists this ribosomal RNA (775 nucleotides) under uncultured Neocallimastigales. Its description in RNAcentral is "partial large subunit ribosomal RNA". It matches the Rfam family "Eukaryotic large subunit ribosomal RNA", at positions 24 to 649 of the family's 3401-position model. The record is from RNAcentral. Lineage: Eukaryota; Fungi; Neocallimastigomycota; Neocallimastigomycetes; Neocallimastigales.